GGCCAGACUCCUACGGGAGGCAGCAGUGGGGAAUAUUGCACAAUGGGCGAAAGCCUGAUGCAGCAACGCCGCGUGAAGGAAGACGGUUUUCGGAUUGUAAACUUCUGUUCUUAGUGAAGAAUAAUGACGGUAACUAAGGAGCAAGCCACGGCUAACUACGUGCCAGCAGCCGCGGUAAUACGGGGGGUGCAAGCGUUGUCCGGAAUCAUUGGGCGUAAAGAGUUCGUAGGCGGCACGUAAAGUCUGGUGUUAAAGGCAGAGGCUCAACUUCUGUACGGCACUGGAUACUUGCGAGCUAGAAUGCGGUAGAGGUAAAGGGAAUUCCUAGUGUAGCGGUGAAAUGCUUAGAUAUCAGGAGGAACAUCGGUGGCGUAAGCGCCUUACUGGGCCGUAAUUGACGCUGAGGAACGAAAGCCAGGGUAGCAAAUGGGAUUAGAUACCCCUGUA
RNAcentral lists this ribosomal RNA (447 nucleotides) under uncultured bacterium. RNAcentral's name for it is "bacterial SSU rRNA". It matches the Rfam family "Bacterial small subunit ribosomal RNA", at positions 329 to 792 of the family's 1533-position model. The record is from RNAcentral.